CAGAGUUACUACUCCAAACCCAUUGUGAACCUUACCUAUGUUCUGUUGCCUCGGCGGCGUCGGUCAGCGCCCCCUCUGAAAAGAGGACGAUGCCCCUCCCGCCGGCAGCACCAAACUCUUGGAUUUUACAGCGGAUUACAGUUCUGAUUUGAAAACAAAAACAAGUUA
RNAcentral lists this unclassified non-coding RNA (168 nucleotides) under uncultured Ascomycota. RNAcentral's name for it is "sequence contains ITS1". The record is from RNAcentral. Lineage: Eukaryota; Fungi; Ascomycota.